AAUGAUUUCUUGCAGGCUAAAAGACAACUGGUAACAUGCAGCUCCCCAGAAAGCAGAAGUUCAAAGACUGUGACCUUCAGCUCCACUUACAACUAAGGACUUUUUCUCCAUCCAUCUGUAUCAGUUUCAAACAAGUAUGAAAAAGAGAGGGAGAAGCACGCUGCGGAAACGUGCUGUGCUCUGAAAAGUCUUACAGGACYCUUACCAGCAGACAAGGAAGGCGGUAGCUGAGACUGUAAGCAGCGAUAAAAAAGUGCUCUCUGAACGUCAUGCUUUUAGGCUCCAUGAGGAACUAGCAAUGAAAGAAAAAUAACAAGGAAAUUGAAAGUAUUCUGGAAAAUGAAUAAUAAAGUUGGACAAGUGAGUUCCCUGUCA
This 375-nucleotide long non-coding RNA is filed under the name Dromaius novaehollandiae (emu). RNAcentral describes it as "lncRNA (ENSDNVG00000007304.1)". The record is from RNAcentral. Lineage: Eukaryota; Metazoa; Chordata; Aves; Casuariiformes; Dromaiidae.